UACGUAGGGUGCGAGCGUUAAUCGGAAUUACUGGGCGUAAAGCGUGCGCAGGCGGUUCGUUAAGUUCGAUGUGAAAGCCCCGGGCUCAACCUGGGAACUGCAUUGGAAACUGGCGAGCUUGAAUGCGGCAGAGGGGGGUGGAAUUCCGCGUGUAGCAGUGAAAUGCGUAGAGAUGCGGAGGAACACCGAUGGCGAAGGCAGCCCCCUGGGCCGACAUUGACGCUCAGGCACGAAAGCGUGGGGAGCAAACCGG
This 253-nucleotide ribosomal RNA is filed under the name uncultured bacterium. Its description in RNAcentral is "partial 16S ribosomal RNA". It matches the Rfam family "Bacterial small subunit ribosomal RNA", at positions 524 to 776 of the family's 1533-position model. The record is from RNAcentral.